Molecule: ribosomal RNA, 774 nt
Filed under: uncultured Neocallimastigales
Lineage: Eukaryota; Fungi; Neocallimastigomycota; Neocallimastigomycetes; Neocallimastigales
Description: partial large subunit ribosomal RNA
Rfam family: Eukaryotic large subunit ribosomal RNA
Source: RNAcentral
GUACACGGUGUGACUAGCAUAUCAAUAAGCGGAGGAAAAGGAACUAACAAGGAUUCCCCUAGUAACGGCGAGUGAAGCGGGAAGAGCUCAAAUUUGAAAUCUUAAAGGGUUUCCCUUUACGAAUUGUAGUUUAAAGAAGUGUUUUCUGUUGAGGUUUUGGUAAAAGUUCUUUGGAAUAGGACAUCAUAGAGGGUGAGAAUCCCGUAUUUGACCUUUACUUUCAACUUUGUGAUACACUUUCAAAGAGUCGGAUUGUUUGGGAAUGCAGUCCAAGAUGGGUGGUAAAUUUCAUCUAAAGCUAAAUAUUGGCGAGAGACCGAUAGCGAACAAGUACCGUGAGGGAAAGAUGAAAAGAACUUUGAAAAGAGAGUUAAACAGCACGUGAAAUUGUCAAAAGGGAAGCGUUUGACACCAGUGUUGUUUUUCUGAAAAUCAAUUAAAGAACUGUUUAUGCUAAGUUGUUUAGACUUUAUCAGCUAACUGUUUAGUUUUGAGCUUUUCUUUAAUGCACUUUUCAGUUAACAAGUCAACAUCAAUUUCUUUUGCUGUAAAAAAGCUUGAGGAAGGUGGCUUGAGAUUCGUCUUAAGUGUUUAUAGCCUCUUGCCUAUGCAGUCGGAGAGAUUGAGGUCUGCAGCGUAGAUCCUUCGGGGCUAGAUGCAUUUGUGCUAAGUUAUAGCAUUUCAUAGACAACUUGUUGACUAUGAUUUGUCUUGUAGCUUACUCGCUUAUGUUAUUUUACCUACGCUUAGGAUGUUGACAGCAGUAUAGACUGU